UACGUAGGGUGCAAGCGUUGUCCGGAAUUAUUGGGCGUAAAGAGCUCGUAGGCGGUUUGUCGCGUCGGGAGUGGAAUCCACUGGCUUAACUGGUGGCUUGCUUUCGAUACGGGCAGACUGGAGGUAUGCAGGGGAGAACGGAAUUCCUGGUGUAGCGGUGAAAUGCGCAGAUAUCAGGAGGAACACCGGUGGCGAAGGCGGUUCUCUGGGCAUGUCCUGACGCUGAGGAGCGAAAGUGUGGGGAGCGAACAGG
Molecule: ribosomal RNA, 253 nt
Filed under: uncultured bacterium
Lineage: Bacteria
Description: partial 16S ribosomal RNA
Rfam family: Bacterial small subunit ribosomal RNA
Source: RNAcentral